UGCCAGCCGCCGCGGUAAUACGGAGGGUGCAAGCGUUAAUCGGAAUUACUGGGCGCAAAGCGCGCGUAGGCGGCUAUUUAAGUCGGAUGUGAAAGCCCUGGGCUCAACCUGGGAACUGCAUUCGAUACUGGGUAGCUAGAGUAUAGGAGAGGAGUGUGGAAUUUCAGGUGUAGCGGUGAAAUGCGUAGAGAUCUGAAGGAACAUCAGUGGCGAAGGCGACACUCUGGCUUAAUACUGACGCUGAGGUGCGAAAGCGUGGGGAGCAAACAGGAUUAGAUA
RNAcentral lists this ribosomal RNA (279 nucleotides) under uncultured bacterium. RNAcentral describes it as "partial 16S ribosomal RNA". It matches the Rfam family "Bacterial small subunit ribosomal RNA", at positions 506 to 784 of the family's 1533-position model. The record is from RNAcentral.